AGCAGUCGCCGCGGGAAUACGUAGGGUGCGAGCGUUAAUCGGAAUUACUGGGCGUAAAGCGUGCGCAGGCGGUUAUAUAAGACAGAUGUGAAAUCCCCGGGCUCAACCUGGGACCUGCAUUUGUGACUGUAUAGCUAGAGUACGGUAGAGGGGGAUGGAAUUCCGCGUGUAGCAGUGAAAUGCGUAGAGAUGUGGAGGAAUACCGAUGGCGAAGGCAGCCCCCUGGGCCAAUACUGACGCUCAUGCACGAAAGCGUGGGGAGCAAACAGGAUUAGAUACCCCAGUAGUCCCUGUCUCUUAUAC
This 303-nucleotide ribosomal RNA is filed under the name uncultured bacterium. Its description in RNAcentral is "partial 16S ribosomal RNA". It matches the Rfam family "Bacterial small subunit ribosomal RNA", at positions 507 to 807 of the family's 1533-position model. The record is from RNAcentral.